Molecule: ribosomal RNA, 459 nt
Filed under: uncultured bacterium
Lineage: Bacteria
Description: partial 16S ribosomal RNA
Rfam family: Bacterial small subunit ribosomal RNA
Source: RNAcentral
CCUACGGGAGGCAGCAGUGAGGAAUAUUGGUCAAUGGCCUGGAGGCUGAACCAGCCAAGUCGCGUGAGGGAAGACGGCCCUACGGGUUGUAAACCUCUUUUGUCAGGGAGCAAGGUGCAGGUCGGGACCUGCUGUGAGCGUACCUGAAGAAAAAGCAUCGGCUAACUCCGUGCCAGCAGCCGCGGUAAUACGGAGGAUGCGAGCGUUAUCCGGAUUUAUUGGGUUUAAAGGGUGCGCAGGCGGAGGCACAAGUCAGCGGUAAAAUCGCGGGGCUCAACCCCGCUCCGCCGUUGAAACUGUGGCCCUUGAGUGCGCGAAGGGUAGGCGGAAUGCGUGGUGUAGCGGUGAAAUGCAUAGAUAGCACGCAGAACUCCGAUCGCGAAGGCAGCCUACCGGCGCGCAACUGACGCUCAUGCACGAAAGCGUGGGUAUCGAACAGGAUUAGAUACCCCGGUAGUC